Molecule: non-coding RNA, 217 nt
Filed under: Absidia glauca
Lineage: Eukaryota; Fungi; Mucoromycota; Mucoromycetes; Mucorales; Cunninghamellaceae
Description: Eukaryotic small subunit ribosomal RNA
Rfam family: Eukaryotic small subunit ribosomal RNA
Source: Rfam by way of RNAcentral
ACAGCGAAACUGCGAAUGGCUCAUUAAAUCAGUUAUGAUCUACAUGACAAAUACUUUACUACUGGAUAACCGUGGUAAUUCUAGAGCUAAUACAUGCAGAAAAGGCCUAACUUCGGGAGGGCUGCACUUAUUAGAUCAAAACCAUCCUGGGUAAAACCAGUUCUAUGGUGAUUCAUAAUAAUUAAGCUGAUCGCAUGGCCUUGCGCCGGCGACGGUA